RNAcentral lists this ribosomal RNA (562 nucleotides) under uncultured bacterium. RNAcentral's name for it is "bacterial SSU rRNA". It matches the Rfam family "Bacterial small subunit ribosomal RNA", at positions 338 to 916 of the family's 1533-position model. The record is from RNAcentral.
CCUACGGGAGGCAGCAGUGGGGAAUUUUGCGCAAUGGGGGAAACCUUGACGCAGCGACGCCGCGUGGGUGAUGAAGGCCUUCGGGUUGUAAAGCCCUGUUGGGGGGGAAGAUAGUGACGGUACCCCCUGAGGAAGCCCCGGCUAACUACGUGCCAGCAGCCGCGGUAAGACGUAGGGGGCGAGCGUUGUCCGGAAUUACUGGGCGUAAAGGGCGUGUAGGCGGCUUUUCAAGUCGGCUGUGAAAUUCCCCGGCUUAACCGGGGGGGUGCAGUCGAAACUGGAGGGCUUGAGUGCAGGAGAGGGUGGUGGAAUUCCCGGUGGAGCGGUGACAUGCGUAGAUAUCGGGAGGAACACCGGUGGCGAAGGCGACCUCCUGGCCUGUUACUGACGCUGAGGCGCGAAAGCCGGGGGAGCAAACAGGAUUAGAUACCCUGGUAGUCCCGGCCGUAAACUCUGGGUACUAGGUGUAGGGGGCUUCGAUGCCUUCUGUGCCGUAGUUAACGCAUUAAGUACCCCGCCUGGGGAGUACGAUCGCAAGGUUGAAACUCAAAUGAAUUGACGG